UACAGAGGUGGCAAGCGUUGUUCGGAAUUACUGGGCGUAAAGGGCGCGUAGGCGGCCUUCUAAGUCAGACGUGAAAUCCCCCGGCUUAACCUGGGAACUGCGUCUGAUACUGGGAGGCUUGAGUAUGGGAGAGGGAUGUAGAAUUCCAGGUGUAGCGGUGAAAUGCGUAGAUAUCUGGAGGAAUACCGGUGGCGAAGGCGGCAUCCUGGACCAUUACUGACGCUGAGGAGCGAAAGCCAGGGGAGCAAACGGG
RNAcentral lists this ribosomal RNA (253 nucleotides) under uncultured bacterium. RNAcentral describes it as "partial 16S ribosomal RNA". It matches the Rfam family "Bacterial small subunit ribosomal RNA", at positions 524 to 776 of the family's 1533-position model. The record is from RNAcentral.